GAGCCCUGAGAGAUGAUCAGGUAGAUAGGUUAGGAGUGGAAGUUGUGUGAGCAAUGUAGCGGACUAAUACUAAUAGCUCGAAGACUUAUCCGA
Molecule: ribosomal RNA, 93 nt
Filed under: Streptococcus sp. NLN76
Lineage: Bacteria; Bacillati; Bacillota; Bacilli; Lactobacillales; Streptococcaceae
Description: partial 23S ribosomal RNA
Rfam family: Bacterial large subunit ribosomal RNA
Source: RNAcentral